Molecule: long non-coding RNA, 2262 nt
Filed under: Helianthus annuus (common sunflower)
Lineage: Eukaryota; Viridiplantae; Streptophyta; Magnoliopsida; Asterales; Asteraceae
Description: hypothetical non coding rna
Source: RNAcentral
ACGAUUGGAAUUUUGGCUCCAUAACCCCAAAGUGAAGUGCCGCCCAAAUAUCCAUUGGAAUUUGCCCUAAUUUACACACUUCAGAGAAUAGGCGAAUCGAUCUGCACACCAUGAAGCCGCCGGCGAUUCGAUCCGCAGACCGUGAAUCAGCGUCGCUUUUCUUCUGGUUCAGGGGGACAAAUUUAAUUUUCUGAAGCAUAAAAGAGAAAGAAGGUGUUGGCUUCAAGAACCAUGUCAUACAGGUUAUUUCUUAAAUUUCUUAUAUGAAAUGGCAACUUGAUAGGCCAAAACAAUGUUUUAGUUUUCUAAAAUAACUAGGGCUGUAAACUACUUAGUACAAUCUAUAAUACUAAUCCGAAUGAGUUCAAUUAAAAUAACUAAAUCUAUCAGUCAAACCUUGGAUGUGGAUUCAAUGAACAUUAUUCAUGUUCAUAUAAUAUAUGAAUUUUAUUAAGGAAUCAUGUGUAGACAAAUAAUUUAAGCACUUCUUGGUUUGGAUUUGUGAGCAAAUUUUGAAGAAUAUAUCAUUAUCUACAUGGUUUUAAAAAACGGCUGAGGCGUGCGCCUCGAGGCGCGCCUUAAGGCGAAAUGCCCAAAAAACGACUCUGAGCCUCAGGGGGUUUCUAGUGUACGUGCGCCUCAGAGAGGCUGAGGCGCUAACUCAAGGAGUUUCUGAUAUUCGUUUUUGAUGUUUUCGACUUUUUAUGUCAAUUUCAAGCAAUUUAUGUUUUAUUUGUGUUUUUGAUGAAUUUGAUGAUGAAUUUAGUUAGUAUUAUUAUUUUUAUAAGAUAUACAAUUUUAUAUUUAUUUUUUUAAUUCCGCCUCGGGCUUAUGCCUUGGUUCGCCUCGAGGCUUACGCCUCGUGAGGCGAAGGGAAAACGCCUCGAAACUCGUUUUCGUUUUUUUUAAACCUUAAUUAUCUACCAGACAACAGAAAAAAAUGGAAUAUGUACUACAUGUUAUACAAUUUACACACCUAGAUCCUCAUGUAUAUGCAUAUAAAUUAAUGUAUAUGUGUGUUUAUGUUAGUAUGUUAUCAGAUUGAAUAUGAAUCUAAGAUAGAAACUGUUUGUCAGUAUAGAAUUUCAAAUUUCACACAACACUUGUAUAAUUAGUUGAUAUACCCAUCCUUUUGCUUACAGAUCUUUUUACAUUCAUCAGACACGAAUGCAUAAUUGUAUUUUAUUGAAUCUGAAUGGUUUACAUUGCUAUCUAUUUCAGUAUAUGCUAGUAAUCAAUUUUUUUUGGUAAUGUUUACACUUAAAUAACUAAUCACAUGUUAAAUUAGAACAGGAUGGUUAUCUACAUACCAAUUGCCUUGCAGCUUUGGCUAACAUGGUGCCAUAUAUGCAUUGGCUAAGCUUAUAUGCCUCGCAAUACUUAGUUAGCCUUUUUGAAAUCUUGUCACGCAAGUAUGGAUUUCCCUCAUCACUUAUGUGUUAUACGAGCCCUAACAUUUACUCAUUUCUAGGCCUUUGAUUCCUUCUUAUAUUCAGAUAUGUAAAUGAUUCCUUCUUAUAUUCAGAUAUGUAAAACUAGCAGAGCAAAGAGCUAAAGAACGAUAAAAUGCAAGCCUAAGGAUAAUGAUCAACUUCCUGAAGUUUUGUGAGUUGCACUGCAAGUAUAUACCGACUUUCUCAUGAGUGUUUUGGAAAUACUGAAUGCAAUAAUGAUAAACGUGUUGCCAAGGAACCGAAAGAAUAAUAUAUAAGGAACAAAUGAAGGGCUAUCUUCAGAAGAUGGGAAGUGCUUCCGUGGAUUAAUUUGUGGUUGUGACAAACAAAGAGCAUAUGGACACCGUUGACUUUAUGGUAGAGGCGUUUUUAACAAAUUGAUAAAAAAGUGGAUGGUUGUGAUAUACCUACCAUACAUGAUUCCAAGCGACUUAUGGAAUCAUUCAAAGCUAGUGUCGAAGUUAAAACAAUUAUUUGCAUGAAAUGCGAAAAGAUAUUAAAGAGGAUCGUGAAAGGAAAAACGCCGAGCAUGAAAUGCGAAAAGAUAUUAAAGAGGAUCGUGAAAGGAAAAAACGCCGAGUUAGAAGCCACAUGGAAAGAUAAUUGACAACCCAUAAGAAAACACUCAAGCAACUACCUUUUAGAGGUGGAGAGUUUUUAACAUGUGCAGAAGGUUUUUGUUACUCUUAAUUAAUUGUAAUUGACAACCUUGUGUUGAAUACAUUAUUUUGAGUUUGAACAUAUAUGUUAAAGUACAUAAAGGUUCUUUAUAAUAUGUGUGUUAUUAUUGUUAAUAAAAAGGUAAAUU